UACGAAGGGGGCUAGCGUUGCUCGGAAUUACUGGGCGUAAAGGGCGCGUAGGCGGACAGUUUAGUCAGAGGUGAAAGCCCAGGGCUCAACCUUGGAAUUGCCUUUGAUACUGGCUGUCUUGAGUUCGGGAGAGGUGAGUGGAAUGCCGAGUGUAGAGGUGAAAUUCGUAGAUAUUCGCAAGAACACCAGUGGCGAAGGCGGCUCACUGGCCCGAUACUGACGCUGAGGCACGAAAGCGUGGGGAGCAAACAGG
RNAcentral lists this ribosomal RNA (253 nucleotides) under uncultured bacterium. RNAcentral describes it as "partial 16S ribosomal RNA". It matches the Rfam family "Bacterial small subunit ribosomal RNA", at positions 524 to 776 of the family's 1533-position model. The record is from RNAcentral.